UCCGGAUUGAUGUUGGGCCACCAGGGCAAAGAAAGAGGAAGAAAAAGUAAGGUGAAGCUCUUUGUUCCACAUGCCGCGGCGUGCAGGGGCAGAUUUGAAUGCAACGGGCUCCUCUAUGCCAUGCGCCAGGUUGUACAAUCAAAAUUUUUAAUAAAUCAAUUCAUGUUUUAAGCGAAAAUUAGAGAAGAAAGGAAGGAGAAACCGAAGAGCUCAACUUAGGCUCUGCUAGGGCAUUGCAUUGGCUCCUAUUGUUGAUGUUUUAAAGCUCCCAAACACCCAAAUGAGGUUCAAUUUUGGCACCAUUUAAGCUUGGGAGGAGCUUUGAAAGUUUUUUGGUGUGAGGGAUAAACCUUUGACCUCUCAAAGGAUUGAGGAUUGAAAGGUAAAGUGGCAGUUCAAGACUUAACGCACGAGCAGUAGUGAGAGUUUUUGGCACGUGGCAUAGAAUUUUUACUUAAAAGCUAAGUCAGAUCAUGAAAACAGAAGGCAAAGUUAAGGAAAAAUGCGUGAGAGGCAGAGGAGAAGACUUGUGUGCUAGGACAACCAUUAUCCAGCUAUCAGGAGUUUGCUUCAACUAGCAACUUAUCAGAUUGAAGGGUAAAAUGACAGUUGAAGACUUAACGCACAAGCAGUAGUGAGAGUUUUUGGCACGUGGCACAGAAUUUUUACUUAAAAGCUAAGUUAGAUCAUGAAAACAGAAGGCAAAGUUAAGGAAAAAUGUGUGAGAGGCAGAGGAGAAGACCUGUGUGCUAGGACAACCAUUAUCUAGCUAUCAGGAGUUUGCUUCAACUAAUGAUUUAUCAGGUAAGUAUCAUACAGCCCUUGUUAUGAGCUAGAAUAUGUUAUGAGCUUCAUCUGAGCGCUUGAAUCAUUCCAAUCGGUUGUCAAAUGUGAAAAUGGUG
Molecule: long non-coding RNA, 902 nt
Organism: Prosopis cineraria
Lineage: Eukaryota; Viridiplantae; Streptophyta; Magnoliopsida; Fabales; Fabaceae
Exons: 4
Source: RefSeq, a predicted model, not a curated record